This 239-nucleotide long non-coding RNA is filed under the name Homo sapiens (human). RNAcentral describes it as "non-protein coding TMEM147-AS1:8". Lineage: Eukaryota; Metazoa; Chordata; Mammalia; Primates; Hominidae. The record is from RNAcentral.
UCUGCACCUGGCCUCGUGUUUUUUUUUUAGUUAGCCAUUUUAUACGUGUUUACUGAACACCUGUCCUGUGCCCAUAUUCUAAGUGCCUUACCUGCAUUAAACUCAUGUAACCUUCACAACCCGAUGAGGAAGUGCUACCGCUGUCAUUUUUUGCAUUUUUUUACUGCUGUCAGGGCAGAGGGGAGGGGAGUGAGAGGGAGAGCCUGCUGGAGUGCAGGUGGCUGGUCCCACCUCGGGUC